AAGGCUGAGAAGAAGCUAAUCCAGCCAGCCCCGGAGGAAGUGUAGGCAGGAGACCAAAAUGGUGAGAUGGAUAAGGGUUUUUUGUUUGUUUGUUUUUAAUCAGAUCAUAGAUGGCACUAGUCUGGCUGACAUGGCAAUGUUCCAGCAUGGUAAUUGGAGAUAGGGGGUUGUUACCUGAUCUUUACCUGGAUUCCUUCAUCUUACCAAGUACCUUCAGGUUGGAGGAGGAAGCAGGACUCCAGAAAAGAUGUGACUUGUUGAAUAGCACUUCAGAAGAAACUGAGUACAGAGAUAGUCACUUGCCAAAGAUCACACCUUAAGACCAGAUGAAUACAGAUUGAAGUUUCUUUGCUGAUGGCUCCACCAAACAACAGUGUAUGGGAUUUUCAGGAAAAACUAGCACCUCUAGUAUGAAGGCUUGCCAUAUCCUUUUCAAGGCUGCUCAUUCACCUUUUGUGUCUCCCUUUUGCCCGACUCUCAACUUUAAGUACAAGAAGCUGUAGCAUGUGCAGUGGUCAAAUUCACAUAAAUGUGGAGUACUCAGAGCUGGAAGACACUAAGAUCAUCCACUACAUCCAUUGCAAAUCAUCUUGACUUGUUUUGCCAUUAGACUUUGAUGAGACUGGAAGAAAGAGUGAAGUUCAUGACUUUGUGAAUGGAAGCUCCUUGAAGUUAAGACAAGUUUCAUCCUUGUCUUUUUACCUUGCAGGCCUAGCAAAGUGCUUUUUUCAUAAGUUUUAUUUUAAUUGAAAAUGGGGCCAUUACCAUCUUCAUGAAUUAUAUCCAUUAGAGAAUGUUUCUCAUUUCAUAUAAUAACUAAGUUCUUUUGAACAUUCAGCUAGUAAGUCCAGGGUCAAUCAUUCAAAGACAAGAAAUAAAAAUUUCAAAGGUCAAAGAACA
RNAcentral lists this long non-coding RNA (900 nucleotides) under Monodelphis domestica (gray short-tailed opossum). RNAcentral describes it as "lncRNA (ENSMODG00000038038.1)". Lineage: Eukaryota; Metazoa; Chordata; Mammalia; Didelphimorphia; Didelphidae. The record is from RNAcentral.